This 72-nucleotide transfer RNA is filed under the name Camelus bactrianus (Bactrian camel). It matches the Rfam family "tRNA". From Rfam's summary of the family: Transfer RNA (tRNA) molecules are approximately 80 nucleotides in length. Their secondary structure includes four short double-helical elements and three loops (D, anti-codon, and T loops). RNAcentral also lists the same sequence under 3 other names. Lineage: Eukaryota; Metazoa; Chordata; Mammalia; Artiodactyla; Camelidae. The record is from Rfam by way of RNAcentral.
GGGGGUAUAGCUCAGUGGUAGAGUGCCUGCCUAGCAUGCAUGAGGUCCUGGGUUCAAUCCCCAGAACCUCUA